Molecule: ribosomal RNA, 403 nt
Filed under: uncultured bacterium
Lineage: Bacteria
Description: partial 16S ribosomal RNA
Rfam family: Bacterial small subunit ribosomal RNA
Source: RNAcentral
GACGAACGCUGGCGGCGUGCCUAAUACAUGCAAGUCGAACGCAGUGGGGACGGGUGAGUAACACGUGGGUAACCUCCCAUCAGAGGGGAUAACACUUGGAAACAGGUGCUAAACCGAUACUGAUGGAUGCACCCGCGGUGCAUUAGCUAGUGGGUGGGGUAACGGCUCACCAAGGCCACGAUGCAUAGCCUACCUGAGAGGGUGAUCGGCCACACUGGGACUGAGACACGGCCCAGAAUCCUACGGGAGGCAGCAGUAGGGAAUAUUCGGCAAUGGACGAAAGUCUGACCGAGCAACGCCGCGUGCGUGAAGAAGGUUUUCGGAUCGUAAAACUAUGUUGUUAGAGAAGCGGUAUCUGAACAGGAAGCCACGGCUAACUACGUGCCAGCAGCCGCGGUAAUUC